GAGUUAUGUUCAUGGCAGCAGUCAGGCACAGUUCAUAGCAGAGACACACAUUGUCAUUUUGCUGUAUGCUGCUAUUACUUUUGGUAUUGUAUUACUCAACGAAAGUGUUACUCAAAAAGGUGAUGUCGGCAAAAGACGAAUUGUAACAAUUCUAGGUCUUGCUACAGUUGUGGUAUUCUUCAGUAUAUUAUUAUCUGUUUUUAGAUCUAAAUAUCAUGGUUACCCUUACAGUUUCCUCAUCCGAUAGAGAAGAUGUCUUUUUAUUCUUAACUGAAAUUUAACUGUCUAUGCUCCUUUUGUUAAUUACUGCAGUAAAUGUAGUAUAAUGAGUUUUUUUUUUUCAUCUGCAGAUGAAAUGUUGCCAUUUCUUGUUUUAUGUUCUCAAUGUCACAUUCACUAACAAAUCAGUACCCCUCCCCCAUUCUUUUUUUUUUUUUUUUUUUGAUAAAUAACAUCAGUACUCAUUCUAUAAUCUAAUUUGUGCUCUUCCACAACUAUUUUUAUUUGCUUGUACAGAAACAUUUUUGAGUUAAGGGCAGAAACUGCAGUGAUCUCUUUAUUAACAUACCGGUACUAUUAUGGUAAUUUGUUUAUGUGGGUGCAAUAUUUUGUUAUUUCUUUCUUUGGUGUGUAUUUCAUACUAUGGUAAUCCAAUCAUGAUUCAUGAUGUAUUGUUUUAUUAUCCUACAUUUCUCUUAUUACGCUAUUUGCGUUAUUAGUAGCACUUGCACUUAACAUAAAAGUGUGGUGUCUCGCAGCAAAAAAAUUUUGUAUUAUUGUGACAUUAAAUACAAUUUUUAGUUUAUAUCUGCAACUAUUAGCAAUGGUUUCUAAUGGAGCAAAUACGGUAUAUAUACUGACUGAACAUAGGUCAAUGUUAAAAAGAAAAUUGCAGCUAUGUCCUUUUAUGUUGAAAGCUGCUAUUGUAUGCGUCAUAAAUUUUGUGAAGGGAGGUUUUAAAGGAAGUUGUGUCAGUCCUUAGGAUUGCACCAGGUGUUCACGCCAAGAUUAGGUUAUUUAUUAAUUUUGGGGUAAUCAUAUUUUGAAUAUUGUAAGUGCCAGCAUAGUUGCGAGGUCCAUUCUGAAUUUGACCUGAACUUUGGAAAUUUUAGUCAGAUUUGCAUGUCGGCCGUUUGUUGUUAUAGUCACGAUUGAUUCUAUUUUAGCCAUUUCAUGUUAGGAUGUUUUCUGUACAGUACAGCUAGAAGUGUUGCCGAUUACAGUCCAUUCAACGUUAUUUUUGAAUCGUGCAAUUCUACAUGUUGCAUCCAAGAUGGCUGAUAUUUCACCCUAUAAGUAAAAUCAUCCAGUUUCUAUAGGUUGAAUUCAAGAUGGCUGAUAUUUAAAAAUAAAGCACUGUCAAUACAAACUUCUUGUAAUAAACUAAUCUGAUACUUACAUAA
Molecule: long non-coding RNA, 1403 nt
Organism: Saccoglossus kowalevskii
Lineage: Eukaryota; Metazoa; Hemichordata; Enteropneusta; Harrimaniidae
Source: RefSeq, a predicted model, not a curated record